UCCCUGGUGGCUGAGUAGCUAAAACACAGCACUCCCAAUGCAGGGGACCCAGGUUUGAUCUUUGGUCAGGGAA
RNAcentral lists this transfer RNA (73 nucleotides) under Bos taurus (domestic cattle). It matches the Rfam family "tRNA". From Rfam's summary of the family: Transfer RNA (tRNA) molecules are approximately 80 nucleotides in length. RNAcentral also lists the same sequence under 5 other names. The record is from Rfam by way of RNAcentral. Lineage: Eukaryota; Metazoa; Chordata; Mammalia; Artiodactyla; Bovidae.